GAGAGAGAGAGAGAGUGCGUGUGUUAGGUGUGAGUUAGGCUGUUUUGCAGGUGAGGAGUGGUAGCGUCGUCGAUCGAUCAUUUCUUCUGGCCUCAGCUCUUCUUCUUCUUCUUCGAUCUCAACUGCUUGCUUCAGAUCAGAUCAGAACCCUUUCAAGCUGCCAAUGGAGGUUUUUGGUAAAUCCAUGAUGUCUGCUCCUGCCAAUGUUGUUUAUCUCUCCACUAUCCUCGGCCUUGAUGGCCCAAUUCCUGUCCACAAAUGUGACUGCAAGUGUCAGAAUGAACAUGUCUUUGGCAACAUGUACCGUUGCAGGCUCACUGGUCUCACUCACAUCUGUGACAAGAACUGUAACCAGAGAAUUUUGUAUGACAACCAUUCUUCCCUUUGCCGGGCUAGUCGCCAGAUUUUCCCCCUUUCCCCAGCUGAGGAGCAGGCUGUCAGAGGAGUUCGCAGGAAGCUCGAUGCUGAGAAUAGCAGUGCUCCCACUGAUAGCUGUUCUUUCAAGCGCAGGCGUGAUGCACAGUUUCAUCCUUCUCCUUUCGAGAGAUCUUUCUCUGCUGUCAGUCCAAUCUGCAGCCAAGUUGGAGAUGGCAUGGAUAUGAGCUAGAUAUAAUAUAUCGGGUUGGAGUUUAUACAAUUCAGGAGACUUUAAAUAAACCUUUCUGUUGUGAUUAAUGAAUUGUUUUGUUUGAGAAUAUUUCUGACAAUAUAAAGCCUAAAAGGGAGUUUAUUUUAUCCUUUACAGGAAUUCUGUCAUUUCUUGCUGUGGUGAAUGAUGCUGCGUAGAACUGCUGAUGGAUUGAGAAGAUGCUGCACUUAUCUGCAGUUCACCCCUCCAUUGUUGAAGAAUUGAAAUUGAGAUGCAUGAUCGACUUAUAUUGACUGCUGGUUUGUUUUUUAAUAGAUCAGCGCCUCUGCUUUAUGAUACAGAUGGAACUUAAUUGGUAGGACUAUCGGGCUGUGAAUGCGGAGGCAAAAGGAAGUUUUAUAUUUUUGGUGAGCUUUGAAGCCUCGAAGAGCAGCUAGCUAAGUUGUAAGUAGCGCUGGCUUUAACCUCGUGAUGCGUCGAUGCCAAGCGAAGGCUUCGGCAUCAGGAAUGAAGAUGAGAACAAUCUGCAAGUCCACAUGGGGCUACCCCUAUCAUGGUUACUUGUUAAUGGUGUUAGAGGGAGUUGAGCUUUUUGUAUCUGGGCUGGUCUGAAGCUCCUGAACAAGUACAUAGCGUCCCCUUCUGGUCUGAAACCAUCCUGUUCUCCCCUUCUGGUCUGAAACCAUCCUGUUCUCGCCUCUCUUUUUUUUUUUCCCAAAUGGGGGGAGAUUGUUGCAUUUUGCGUAAGCACUUUUUUCCACGAAUUCUGAUAAUGGCCAAGAAAGAAUGCUUUUCCUUGUUUCUCGUCAA
Molecule: RNA transcript, 1399 nt
Organism: Populus nigra (black poplar)
Lineage: Eukaryota; Viridiplantae; Streptophyta; Magnoliopsida; Malpighiales; Salicaceae
Exons: 4
Source: RefSeq, a predicted model, not a curated record